GAAUUGCUGAGGGACAGACAGGGGACAUCUCAAUUGGGCACAGAUGUUACGAGGUAUAAACACAAAAUUGGUCGCAGACAAGGAGGGAGACAAUGGACUCGAAGCCGACAUUCAUGCUCCUUAUCUUAAUCUCUCCGCCACCGUCAUCACAGCCAAAGGAUAAGUCCGGCCUCCGCCUCGCAAAGCCCUCCAUUUCCCAUGGAAUCCGAAACCCUCUUCUCAUCCCACCAGCAGGUAAAUUAAUCAUCUUCUCACUCUUAUUUUUCUAUCACUUUCCAAGAAUUUUCUCAGGAAAAAGUUGACUAAUUGAUUCUAACUCCAUUUCUUAUUAAACCAUAAAUUUUCUGCUCCUUUUAAAGUUGGUUCUGUUUGUCUUGCCAGAAAAUACUUUCCUUUCUGUCUCUCUCUUUUUUAAAUUUUGUUGUACGGAAUAAUGGGGCAUGUGAACAAGCUUGUUUUGCAGAAAAAAUAAAAUACAAGUUCCAAAAGUUUGUUCUUAUUUACACUCGAUGUAUAAUGCUAGUGUAAGGUUAACAGAGCAUGGCUGGAAAUUGAUCAAAAUGGAGAUGGUGGCUCAAACAAACCUAUUUCAGAUGAAAAUUUGCCAGGUCCAUCAUAAUUUGGAUGUGUAACUUCUGUGUUAGAAAAGCAAAACUAUCGUAGGCUUCCUGCUCAAGAAAAUGUAAUUUUUUUGCUUUUGAUAAGAACAAAUCCUUAAUUAUUGGAAAUGACCAAUCGUUGCGCAUCGGACUGAAAGUUAGAUUUCUGGAUGUUAUGACUGCAUAGCGAACAUGAUUAUCAUUAUUUGUGACAUAAUCUGUGUUGGUUUGUACCUGGGUAAAGUAUCUUUUAAGUUUUAAGGCAUGUAGCAUUUUUUUUAAUAAUUGCCCCCAGAUACAUGAAGUUCUUGAGGUUUUAUCAUUAGUUGUGACAUAAUAUAUGAAGUAUUGCCACCAAUACUUCUUUCAACCCCUUCACCAUCUCACAUAAAGUAACAGGCAUCAAGGAAACUUCUGUAAAUUUUGUUUCAUGGGUACAAUUUCUUAUCUGUACUUGCUAUCAAUAGUUACAAUUCUUACAUCAACCUCUCACUAACAUAGCAUGCUCAUUAGUAACUGUCUAAACCAACCUAAUUGACUAGAUUCUAAUCUAUACAUGCAGUUUAGAUUGAAGGCUUUGAUUGGUGAUGCCCUUUAGGAAAUAACCAUCUGCCCCUGCUGCGAGGAAGCUUGGCAAUGCAAAAAUCUCACUGGUCCACGCCAACUCGAAGAUUGAACCUCUAUUACCGAGAAUAUUUCUCAAGUAUGAUACUACCUAUAGGUAUUCAUAUUGUAUAUUAGGACAAGCCAAAAAAUAUCUAAAUGAAUAGCAAAUGAAAUGUAUAGCAUUACUGGCCUCAAUCAGCCCAGAGCAACUGAUUGUUAACUUUCUACUUGUGGACCGCGACCAGGUAUCUCACAUUUUUGAGCAGUUCAAUGGAAUGAUUAAUGUCUUAGAGUUGGAUAUAGAGAUUCAAUCUUCAAGUUGACCUCUACCAGUGAGAUUCAUAUAUGUAUAUAAUGUACUUACAUGGUUCAAAAACUUAUCUGAAAACAAUUGGUCAGUAUAACUCUCAUACUGCUCUUUGGAGCCAUUUCUGGUAUGAAACUUACUGAUCUCUCUCAUACAACUCACUAAUGAGUACACUUCACAUAUUCCCUUGCAGACGCGCCAUUCUGAUCAAUGUUUUUCAACAUCAAGAGCAAAAUAAUGCAACAUCAAAGAUAAGGAGUACCAAGAGCAGCUACGUAUGCUGGAUAAACCAAAAGUAGGGCAGCAAGAAACUGC
Molecule: long non-coding RNA, 1827 nt
Filed under: Prunus dulcis (almond)
Lineage: Eukaryota; Viridiplantae; Streptophyta; Magnoliopsida; Rosales; Rosaceae
Description: sRNA ncRNA
Source: RNAcentral